UUUAGACUCUCACCAGCAUUGGGGUUCCGUCCGUGGGCACUGCGAGGACAGGGAAGCCUCCGCGCACCCGGCCAAACCUUCACGACUGACUUCGGAAUACGCAGCAAAAAGCACUUGGAGGGCAUCUCUCCAGACACAGCCCUGCCUUGUUUGUACGAUCACAGAGUAGGGAGGGACUACUAAUGAACCAAUUAUACUAAUGAACCAAUGAGUCAAUUAACUGUUAAUGAGCUAUUAACUCGGUGUGGAUGUGUCCUUGCCCUUCCAUCCCGGCCYCGGGGCUCCUGCUCCCUGGGAGUGGCUGCCGCGGAUGCUCCUGUGCGGAAUGAUGGGCCCGGUGUCCAUAGGAAAAACUAUAGGACCCCCGUGCCRGCCCUGCGCCCGCGGCGGGCAGCACCGAGGACCGUAGCGAGGCACAACUCGAGGCUCGCUGUUGGCCUCAGAGUCCUACGAGCUCAGUCCGGGGUUCUUCUAAAAGUGUGGCACCUGUAAACAGAUCUGGACAACAGCAGCRGCAUAUGGAGCGAAGGUGAACGCCUUCCCUUCUUACACGAUCCUGCGUUUCCGACACCUGGGCCACGGUCCCUUGUCAACGUUCCGACUCUUCGCUGUCGCUCC
This is a long non-coding RNA of Nothoprocta perdicaria, 618 nucleotides long. RefSeq lists it as uncharacterized. The transcript is spliced from 2 exons. Lineage: Eukaryota; Metazoa; Chordata; Aves; Tinamiformes; Tinamidae. The record is from RefSeq and is a predicted model, not a curated record.